This 506-nucleotide ribosomal RNA is filed under the name uncultured bacterium. RNAcentral describes it as "partial 16S ribosomal RNA". It matches the Rfam family "Bacterial small subunit ribosomal RNA", at positions 28 to 523 of the family's 1533-position model. The record is from RNAcentral.
GAUGAACGCUAGCUACAGGCUUAACACAUGCAAGUCGAGGGGUAACGAGAGGAAAGCUUGCUUUCCUUGUCGACGACCGGCGCACGGGUGAGUAACGCGUAUCCAACCUGCCCCCAACUAGGGAAUAACCUUGCGAAAGUAAGACUAAUACCCUAUAAUUUCCUCAGAUGACAUCUGACGAGGAAUAAAGAUUUAUCGGUUGUGGAUGGGGAUGCGUCUGAUUAGCUUGCUGGCGGGGUAACGGCCCACCAAGGCAACGAUCAGUAGGGGUUCUGAGAGGAAGGUCCCCCACAUUGGAACUGAGACACGGUCCAAACUCCUACGGGAGGCAGCAGUGAGGAAUAUUGGUCAAUGGGCGGAAGCCUGAACCAGCCAAGUAGCGUGCAGGAUGACGGCCCUAUGGGUUGUAAACUGCCUUUAUACAGGAAUAAAGUUAGCCACGUGUGGUUAUUUGUAGGUACUGUAUGAAUAAGGACCGGCUAAUUCCGUGCCAGCAGCCGCCGUAA